Non-coding RNA from Biomphalaria pfeifferi, 710 nucleotides. Lineage: Eukaryota; Metazoa; Mollusca; Gastropoda; Planorbidae. The record is from the annotation of a GenBank genome assembly.
AAAGGGUUAAAAUUUUUAUUUCAACAUUGAACUUGAUUGUUUUGUUUUUCUUCAAAGUUGUACAUAAAUAUUUAAAUAAUUGAAAUAUUAAAUAGUUUUGGCAAGCAGACUUCUCUUUUUAUACAUACAAUCUCAUGUCUCUUUUAUUCUAUCUCUCUUUCUUGUGUUUUUUUUUUCUCACUCAGUCUUUCAAUCACUACCACUUCUCCAACACUUACACAUAUUAAUAGAGAUGAGACCACAACAAGUCAACAUUAACUCUCUUCACACUUUGCACACGCGCACACACACACACACACACAUAUAUAUAUAUAUAUAUUUAGGCCUAAAUAAAACAAAAUGCUCUAAUAAAUUAUUCAGAUAGCCCAUAACAAUAAUUAAUUAAACGAAAAAGAUGGUCUCUGAAUUCUUUCGCCUUAGAGUUAGGCCAUGGAGAUGUUCUCAUUUCUUUGUUUCCGAAGAUAAAGUCUUGCUUUCUCUAUAUGUACGCAUGCUAGAGACUUUGUCUGUACGGGGCUUUGUGGCAUCUAUUGAGCCCCUUUCGCGAUCUGUGCGGGUAUUUGUAGCAUCAGGUGAACCACUUUCUUUAUUUGGACGAAAUUUGGUUGCGUCGAGUGAUCCUCUUUCUCUGACUGUGCUAAAUUUGGAGACAUCAAUGGAGCCUCUUUGACCAUCUUUUUGUAUAUUGGUACUAUCCACGGAUCCUCUUU